GAUGAACGCUGGCGGCGUGCCUAAUACAUGCAAGUCGAGCGAAUGGAUUAAGAGCUUGCUCUUAUGAAGUUAGCGGCGGACGGGUGAGUAACACGUGGGUAACCUGCCCAUAAGACUGGGAUAACUCCGGGAAACCGGGGCUAAUACCGGAUAACAUUUUGAACCGCAUGGUUCGAAAUUGAAAGGCGGCUUCGGCUGUCACUUAUGGAUGGACCCGCGUCGCAUUAGCUAGUUGGUGAGGUAACGGCUCACCAAGGCAACGAUGCGUAGCCGUCCUGAGAGGGUGAUCGGCCACACAGGAACUGAGACACGGCCCAGACUCCUACGGGAGGCAGCAGUAGGGAAUCUUCCGCAAGGGACGAAAGUCUGACGGAGCAACGCCGCGUGAGUGAUGAAGGCUUUCGGGUCGUAAAACUCUGUUGUUAGGGAAGAACAAGUGCUAGUUGAAUAAGCUGGCACCUUGACGGUACCUAACUAGAAAGCCACGGCUAACUACGUGCCAGCCGCCGCAGUAA
This 515-nucleotide ribosomal RNA is filed under the name uncultured bacterium. Its description in RNAcentral is "partial 16S ribosomal RNA". It matches the Rfam family "Bacterial small subunit ribosomal RNA", at positions 28 to 523 of the family's 1533-position model. The record is from RNAcentral.